AGAGUUUGAUCCUGGCUCAGGACGAACGCUGGCGGCGUGCCUAAUACAUGCAAGUUGAACGCAACAAAGACACCAGAGCUUGCUCUACCGUCUUUGUUGAGUAGCGAACGGGUGAGUAACGCGUGGGUAACCUGCCUUAUAGCGGGGGAUAACUAUUGGAAACGAUAGCUAAUACCGCAUAACAAUAGAGAUUGCAUAAUCUUUAUUUGAAAGUGCCAACUGGUACACUAUGAGAUGGACCCGCGUUGUAUUAGCUAGUUGGUAGUGUAAUGGACUACCAAGGCGAUGAUACAUAGCCGACCUGAGAGGGUGAUCGGCCACAUUGGGACUGAGACACGGCCCAAACUCCUACGGGAGGCAGCAGUAGGGAAUCUUCGGCAAUGGACGAAAGUCUGACCGAGCAACGCCGCGUGAGUGAAGAAGGUUUUCGGAUCGUAAAACUCUGUUGUUAGAGAAGAAUGUUGAUUAGAGUGGAAAAUUAAUCAAGUGACGGUAUCUAACCAGAAAGGGACGGCUAACUACGUGCCAGCAGCCGCGGUAAUACGUAGGUCCCGAGCGUUGUCCGGAUUUAUUGGGCGUAAAGCGAGCGCAGGUGGUUUAAUAAGUCUGAUGUAAAAGGCAGUGGCUCAACCAUUGUGUGCAUUGGAAACUGUUAGACUUGAGUGCAGUAGAGGAGAGUGGAAUUCCAUGUGUAGCGGGUGAAUGCGUAGAUAUAUGGA
Molecule: ribosomal RNA, 719 nt
Filed under: uncultured bacterium
Lineage: Bacteria
Description: bacterial SSU rRNA
Rfam family: Bacterial small subunit ribosomal RNA
Source: RNAcentral